Pipra filicauda (Wire-tailed manakin) is the source of this 185-nucleotide long non-coding RNA. RefSeq lists it as uncharacterized. The record is from RefSeq and is a predicted model, not a curated record. Lineage: Eukaryota; Metazoa; Chordata; Aves; Passeriformes; Pipridae. The transcript has 3 exons.
AGCCCACAGCUGGAUGCAGCACUCCAGUGGGGACAGUGUGGUGCUCUGGAAUCCCUGGAGCCCAGGAGCAUGAAUGCAGGGAUACAUGGAAUAAAAGCAGCACUUUCAGAGUAAGCUUGAAGGGAGAUAAUCUGCAUCGUCAAGUCACUGAAAUUUCUGAUUCGUGACAUCUCUUAAUAAAUAAG